ACCCGCUGGAACUUAAGCAUAUCAAUAAGCGGAGGAAAAGAAACCAACAGGGAUUGCCUCAGUAACGGCGAGUGAAGCGGCAACAGCUCAAAUUUGAAAUCUGGCCUCUGUCGGGGUCCGAGUUGUAAUUUGUAGAGGAUGCUUCGGGUACGGCUGCGGUCUAAGUUCCUUGGAACAGGACGUCAUGGAGGGUGAGAAUCCCGUGUGGGACCGCCUGCCACGCCCGUGUGAAGCGCCUUCGACGAGUCGAGUUGUUUGGGAAUGCAGCUCCAAAUGGGUGGUAAAUUUCAUCUAAAGCUAAAUACCGGCCAGAGACCGAUAGCGCACAAGUAGAGUGAUCGAAAGAUGAAAAGCACUUUGGAAAGAGAGUUAAAAAGCAUGUGAAAUUGUUGAAAGGGAAGCGCUUGCAACCAGACUUGCCCCCGGGGGUUCCACCGGCGUUCUCGCCGGCUCACUCCCCCGGAGUCAGGCCAGCAUCGGUUUGGGUGGCCGGACAAAGGCCCCUGGAAUGUAGCUCUCUUCGGGGAGUGUUAUAGCCAGGGGUGCCAUGCGGCCCACCCGGACCGAGGGACGCGCUGCGGCACGAUG
This 588-nucleotide ribosomal RNA is filed under the name Chaenothecopsis tsugae. Its description in RNAcentral is "eukaryotic LSU rRNA". It matches the Rfam family "Eukaryotic large subunit ribosomal RNA", at positions 23 to 625 of the family's 3401-position model. Lineage: Eukaryota; Fungi; Ascomycota; Eurotiomycetes; Mycocaliciales; Mycocaliciaceae. The record is from RNAcentral.